UGGGGAAUUUUGGACAAUGGGCGAAAGCCUGAUCCAGCAAUGCCGCGUGUGUGAAGAAGGCCUUCGGGUUGUAAAGCACUUUUGUCCGGAAAGAAAUCCUUGGCUCUAAUACAGUCGGGGGAUGACGGUACCGGAAGAAUAAGCACCGGCUAACUACGUGCCAGCAGCCGCGGUAAUACGUAGGGUGCAAGCGUUAAUCGGAAUUACUGGGCGUAAAGCGUGCGCAGGCGGUUUGCUAAGACCGAUGUGAAAUCCCCGGGCUCAACCUGGGAACUGCAUUGGUGACUGGCAGGCUAGAGUAUGGCAGAGGGGGGUAGAAUUCCACGUGUAGCAGUGAAAUGCGUAGAGAUGUGGAGGAAUACCGAUGGCGAAGGCAGCCCCCUGGGCCAAUACUGACGCUCAUGCACGAAAGCGUGGGGAGCAAACAGGAUUAGAUACCCUGGUAGUCCACGCCCUAAAACGAUGUCAACUAGUUGUUGGGGAUUCAUUUCCUUAGUAACGUAGCUAACGCGUGAAGUUGC
This 521-nucleotide ribosomal RNA is filed under the name uncultured bacterium. RNAcentral's name for it is "partial 16S ribosomal RNA". It matches the Rfam family "Bacterial small subunit ribosomal RNA", at positions 355 to 868 of the family's 1533-position model. The record is from RNAcentral.